Molecule: long non-coding RNA, 698 nt
Organism: Fundulus heteroclitus (mummichog)
Lineage: Eukaryota; Metazoa; Chordata; Actinopteri; Cyprinodontiformes; Fundulidae
Exons: 2
Source: RefSeq, a predicted model, not a curated record
GUUAAAACAUAAAUAAAAGACCCUAACCCUAAAGGAGCUACAACAAGGUCCAGUACGGUACCGCCUGCAUCUAACCCUUAAUGAGCUACAACAAGGUCCAGUACGGUACCGCCUGCAUCUAACCCUAAAGGAGCUACAACAAGGUCCAGUACGGUACUGCCUGCAUCUAACCCUUAAUGAGCUACAACAAGGUCCAGUACGGUACCGCCUGCAUCUAAGCCUAAAGGAGCUACAACAAGGUCCAGUACGGUACCGCCUGCAUCUAACCCUUAAUGAGCUACAACAAGGUCCAGUACGGUACCGCCUGCAUCUAACCCUUAAUGAGCUACAACAAGGUCCAGUACGGUACCGCCUGCAUCUAACCCUAAAGGAGCUACAACAAGGUCCAGUACGGUACCGCCUGCAUCUAACCCACAAUGAACAACAAGGUCCAGUACGGUACCGCCUGCAUCUAACCCUUAAUGAGCUACAACAAGGUCCAGUACGGUACCGCCUGCAUCUAACCCUAAAGGAGCUACAACAAGGUCCAGUACGGUACCGCCUGCAUCUAACCCUAAAGGAGCUACAACAAGGUCCAGUACGGUACCACCUGCAUCUAACCCUUAAUGAGCUACAACAAGGUCCAGUACGGUACCGCCUGCAUCUAAGCCUAAAGGAGCUACAACAAGGUCCAGUACGGUACCGCCUGCAUCUAACCC